RNAcentral lists this ribosomal RNA (1752 nucleotides) under Arenicellales bacterium. RNAcentral describes it as "partial 23S ribosomal RNA". It matches the Rfam family "Bacterial large subunit ribosomal RNA", at positions 890 to 2559 of the family's 2925-position model. Lineage: Bacteria; Pseudomonadati; Pseudomonadota; Gammaproteobacteria; Arenicellales. The record is from RNAcentral.
AUCGAAACCUACAAGCCCAAAUAUCCCAAGGCCGCACUGUGCCUGGGCAAGGACCAGGAGGCGCUGAUGGCUUUUUAUGACUUCCCGGCACCACACUGGCAGCAUCUGAGGACGACCAACCCGAUCGAAUCGACCUUUGCGACCAUCCGCCAUCGUACCGUUCGCAGCAAAGGCUGUGUGACCCGGGACAGCAUGCUGCACAUGAUGUUCAAGCUUGGCAUCUGUGCCGAGAAGACAUGGAGACGAUUACGCGGUUUCGAUUAUCUCGCCAAGGUCAUUGACGGAGUGAAGUUCGUCAAUGGAGAAGAGGUUCAGCAACCCGACCAGGUCGCCGCUUGAAUCAGGCCUCUGAACACCAGAAUUGACAAUAACUCAAACUGCGGAUGCAAGCUUGCUUGCAUGGUAGGGGAGCGUUCUGUAGGCCUGCGAAGGUGUGCCGUGAGGCAUGCUGGAGGUAUCAGAAGUGCGAAUGCUGACAUGAGUAACGAUAAAGGGGGUGAAAGACCCCCUCGCCGGAAGUCCAAGGUUUCCUGCGCAACGCUAAUCGGCGCAGGGUUAGUCGGGUCCUAAGAUGAGGCCGAAAGGCGUAAUCGAUGGCAAACAGGUUAAUAUUCCUGUACCGCGUCUAACUGCGAUGGGGUGACGGAGAAGGCUAGACCAGCCGGGUGUUGGAUGUCCCGGCUUAAUCGAGUAGGGAGUACUCUUAGGUAAAUCCGGGGGUGCAAUUCCGAGACGUGACGACGAGGUUUCUUUUGAAACCGAAGUGGUUGAUGCCAUGCUUCCAGGAAAAACCUCUAAGCUUCAGGUUAGACGUGUCCGUACCCCAAACCGACACAGGUGGACAGGGCGAGAAGCCCAAGGCGCUUGAGACAACUCGGGUGAAGGAACUCGGCAAAAUGACACCGUAACUUCGGGAGAAGGUGUACCCUCAUUACGUGAAGGCCCUCGCGGCCCGAGCGGAAGGGGGUUGCAACAAAGAGGUGGCUGCGACUGUUUAUUAAAAACACAGCACUCUGCAAACUCGUAAGAGGACGUAUAGGGUGUGACGCCUGCCCGGUGCCGGAAGGUUAAUUGAUGGGGUUAGUCUUCGGACGAAGCUCUUGAUCGAAGCCCCGGUGAACGGCGGCCGUAACUAUAACGGUCCUAAGGUAGCGAAAUUCCUUGUCGGGUAAGUUCCGACCUGCACGAAUGGCGUAACGAUGGCCACACUGUCUCCACCCGGGACUCAGUGAAAUCGAAAUUGCUGUGAAGAUGCAGUGUACCCACACCAAGACGGAAAGACCCCGUGCACCUUUACUACAACUUCACACUGGACUUUGAACAUGGCUGUGUAGGAUAGGUGGGAGGCUUUGAAGCUGGGACGCUAGUUCUGGUGGAGCCAACCUUGAAAUACCACCCUGUUAUGUCUGGGGCCCUAACCGAGAUCCGUUAUCCGGACCCGGAACAGUGUGUGGUGGGUAGUUUGACUGGGGCGGUCUCCUCCUAAAGAGUAACGGAGGAGCACGAAGGUUGGCUAAUCCUGGUCGGACAUCAGGAGGUUAGUGCAAUGGCAUAAGCCAGCUUGACUGCGAGCGUGACGGCGCGAGCAGGUGCGAAAGCAGGUCAUAGUGAUCCGGUGGUUCUGAAUGGAAGGGCCAUCGCUCAACGGAUAAAAGGUACUCCGGGGAUAACAGGCUGAUACCGCCCAAGAGUUCAUAUCGACGGCGGUGUUUGGCACCUCGAUGUCGGCUCAUCACAUCCUGGGGCUGAAGU